This is a long non-coding RNA of Trichechus manatus latirostris (Florida manatee), 1251 nucleotides long. RefSeq lists it as uncharacterized. The record is from RefSeq and is a predicted model, not a curated record. NCBI's taxonomy places the organism in Eukaryota, Metazoa, Chordata, Mammalia, Sirenia, Trichechidae. The transcript is spliced from 2 exons.
CUGCCUAGGCGCCACCAGCCCCGCGGGCUUGGCGGAGGCCCUGCUCUUCGGGUAUUUACGGCGCGCGGCCGCCCUUGCUAGGGCUUAAGUCGGCGCUUCCAUGUUCAGUUUCAGGGUCUGGCCGGUAGCCCCGGCCGGCGGGCGCGGAACGGGCAGCGGGGUGGGCACGGCAGAGUCCCCUGGGGGCCCCGGAGUUAGGAGGCCGCGUCCGGGAGCCCCGGAGGAGGAUGGGCUGCGGACGCAGCAAGCUGAGCUGCUGCAAGCCCCCCAAAAAGCCUGAAUUGGACCCCUCUGACCCAAGCUGAGAAGAACAAGUAAAGUCAGCCCAGACUGAGUUGAACUGGACCUUGGAUACCACUUGGGCUGACUCACUGAAUGUACAUAUGGAGGCUAAAGCCUAGAGAAGUGAAGGGUCUUGGCUGAGGUUUCAGAGCAACUUCAAGCAAAAUCUAGGUUAUCAUUCCCCUGGCUCAGUGUGUUUCUCUUCCCCCCUGCCCUGUGCUGCCAGUGGCUUCUUGCCUACUACAAAGCCCUUUGGCAUAAAAACCUUCACCACUGUUGCCUCAGAGCCACCUGAUGUGUCUUCUCUGCCGCAGCAAUGCCAGUCCCCUGCCCCUACAUGGCUAGUUUUGUUUAAAGUUCAUGCCUCUUUCCAUCCCUCCAGACUGUGCUCCUGCCCAAUUUCAGCCCCCUAAGGAGCCCUGGUGGUACAGUGGUUAAAGCGUUUGGCUGCUGACCAAAAGGUUGGUGGUUUGAACCCACCAGCCGCUCCAUAGGAGAAAGAUGUGGCAGUCUGCUUCCAUAAAGAUUACAGACUUGGAAACCCUGUGAGGCAGUUCUGCUCUGUCCUACAGGGUGGCUGUGAGUCGGAAUCAACUCAACGGCAGUAGGUUUGGUUUUUGGUUUUGGUUUGGAGGUAGGGGGUGCUCUGAGGAUGAGAUGUAUAAAAAACGAGGGUCAGGUCAUGGUAGCAGUGACUCACUCUGAGUGGCAGUUUACAGAGUACUUUCACAUCCUUAUCUUUGUCAAAUCACACUCAAGCCCUGGGAGCUAGGCUGAGCUGUGGAACCUUCACCGCUUUACAGGUGAGGAACCUGAGGCUUGGUGAAGAAUGCUGUGUCCAAAAUCAUAUAGCUAGUCGGUGGCAAAGCAGUGAGUUGGAGGCUGGUUUUUUGCACUCCCCACCUAGUGCCUUCCGCAGAGCACAGAGCAGGUGCAUAUUUGGAUGAAUGAAUGAGGACUAGCUAAGAG